UAGGGAAUCUUCGGCAAUGGGGGGAACCCUGACCGAGCAACGCCGCGUGAGUGAAGAAGGUUUUCGGAUCGUAAAGCUCUGUUGUUAAGGAAGAACGAGUGUGAGAAUGGAAAGUUCAUGCUGUGACGGUACUUAACCAGAAAGGGACGGCUAACUACGUGCCAGCAGCCGCGGUAAUACGUAGGUCCCGAGCGUUGUCCGGAUUUAUUGGGCGUAAAGCGAGCGCAGGCUGUUAGAAAAGUCUGAAGUGAAAGGCAGUGGCUCAACCAUUGUAGGCUUUGGAAACUGUUUAACUUGAGUGCAGAAGGGGAGAGUGGAAUUCCAUGUGUAGCGGUGAAAUGCGUAGAUAUAUGGAGGAACACCGGUGGCGAAAGCGGCUCUCUGGUCUGUAACUGACGCUGAGGCUCGAAAGCGUGGGGAGCGAACAGG
RNAcentral lists this ribosomal RNA (429 nucleotides) under Bacteroidota bacterium. RNAcentral's name for it is "Bacteroidetes bacterium partial 16S ribosomal RNA". It matches the Rfam family "Bacterial small subunit ribosomal RNA", at positions 355 to 776 of the family's 1533-position model. The record is from RNAcentral. Lineage: Bacteria; Pseudomonadati; Bacteroidota.